This 30-nucleotide non-coding RNA is filed under the name Mus musculus (house mouse). The record is from RNAcentral. Lineage: Eukaryota; Metazoa; Chordata; Mammalia; Rodentia; Muridae.
UGAGAGGCUGAAGAGAAUCAUCCCUCAUUU